Molecule: ribosomal RNA, 460 nt
Filed under: uncultured bacterium
Lineage: Bacteria
Description: partial 16S ribosomal RNA
Rfam family: Bacterial small subunit ribosomal RNA
Source: RNAcentral
CCUACGGGAGGCAGCAGUGAGGAAUAUUGGUCAAUGGACGCAAGCCUGAACCAGCCAAGCCGCGUGCAGGAAGACGGCCCUAUGAGUUGUAAACUUCUUUUAUACAGGGAUAAACUGAGACACGUGUGUCUUUCUGUAAGUACCUUAUGAAUAAGGAUCGGCUAACUCCGUGCCAGCAGCCGCGGUAAUACGGAGGAUCAGAGCGUUAUCCGGAUUUAUUGGGUUUAAAGGGUGCGUAGGUGGGAUGUUAAGUUAGAGGUGAAAGCUUGCGGCUCAACUUGAGAAUUGCCUUUGAUACUGUUAGGCUUGAGAGUAGUUGCGGUAGGCGGAAUGUGUGGUGUAGCGGUGAAAUGCAUAGAUAUCACACAGAACACCGAUUGCGAAGGCAGCUUACCAAGCUACCACUGACGUUGAUGCACGAAAGCGUGGGGAUCAAACAGGAUUAGAUACCCUUGUAGUC